Molecule: ribosomal RNA, 465 nt
Filed under: Dialister invisus
Lineage: Bacteria; Bacillati; Bacillota; Negativicutes; Veillonellales; Veillonellaceae
Description: bacterial SSU rRNA
Rfam family: Bacterial small subunit ribosomal RNA
Source: RNAcentral
GACGAACGCUGGCGGCGUGCUUAACACAUGCAAGUCGAACGAAAGGACGGAAAGAGCUUGCUCUUUUCAGAAUUGAGUGGCAAACGGGUGAGUAACACGUAAACAACCUGCCUUCAGGAUGGGGACAACAGACGGAAACGACUGCUAAUACCGAAUAAGUUCCAAGAGCCGCAUGGCCCAUGGAAGAAAAGGUGGCCUCUACCUGUAAGCUAUCGCCUGAAGAGGGGUUUGCGUCUGAUUAGCUGGUUGGAGGGGUAACGGCCCACCAAGGCGACGAUCAGUAGCCGGUCUGAGAGGAUGAACGGCCACACUGGAACUGAGACACGGUCCAGACUCCUACGGGAGGCAGCAGUGGGGAAUCUUCCGCAAUGGGCGAAAGCCUGACGGAGCAACGCCGCGUGAGUGAUGACGGCCUUCGGGUUGUAAAACUCUGUGAUCCGGGACGAAAAGGCAGAGUGCGAAGAA